Acanthosepion pharaonis is the source of this 113-nucleotide non-coding RNA. Lineage: Eukaryota; Metazoa; Mollusca; Cephalopoda; Sepiida; Sepiidae. The record is from the annotation of a GenBank genome assembly.
UAUGCCCAUAUCACAUUGAAACACCUGUUCCUGUAUGAUGACCAAAAUUAAGCAACAUAAAGCCUGGUAAAUACCUAGAUGGGUGACCACUUGGGAAUACCUGGUACUGUAAG